This is a non-coding RNA of Vicugna pacos (alpaca), 464 nucleotides long. Lineage: Eukaryota; Metazoa; Chordata; Mammalia; Artiodactyla; Camelidae. The record is from RefSeq and is a predicted model, not a curated record.
UUUCCUCCGGAGCCCUUCACAAGGGGAGGAAUUCGGCCGCGUUGUCUGAGCCAGAGUUCCGGGAGGCCGGCGGCGCGGGCUGGAUCAUCCCGGUCAUGCAGAGCGGCGGCGCAGUGUGCUCUCGCGGGAAAUUGGACCUGCAGGCUUAUGGGGAGUUGCUGACGCAGAGCUCCGGGGCCCAGUCCGGCGCCACCUCUUCGGAAAGAUAACAUGGGGGAAGGCCCUUCCUACCUGUCCCGCGAGAGACAGAUGGGUGAGAAAUUCUAGGAUUCCUUUGGAUAAAAGGCAAAGAGGUACAGCAGACGAUCCCGCAAGUUCCCAGGCACAUUCAGAAUAAACUAACAAAUUAUGCCGUCAAGUGCUCUCACUAAAAAGACAGGUGGUCGAAUUUAUAUAGAAAACUACUUGCUUGACAAUAGGGUGAGGUUUCUUUCUGUCCUUAAAUUCUCUUCAGAUUGGAAGAG